This is a non-coding RNA of Nicotiana tabacum (common tobacco), 809 nucleotides long. The record is from RefSeq and is a predicted model, not a curated record. Lineage: Eukaryota; Viridiplantae; Streptophyta; Magnoliopsida; Solanales; Solanaceae.
CAGAUUUAUCAUCUUCUCCAUCACAAAGACCUAACUGAUUCCAAAAGCCCUGAGGCAACCAAAACAGCCGCAAAAGACCACACAAAGCAAAAAGAAGAAAAUUCCUCUACGGCAAGGACCCCCUUCUAAGAAAUCUCUUUGAACCCAUCAUAUUUUUCAAACUCUGAUUUGAGAAAGAAGCCACAUAUAAUCAUAUACACACUUAAUAACUCCUCCACCCUUUAUUUUAAGAAGAUCAAAUAUGCACACCCGAGAAAAAGCAAAGAACGGACCUGCACAAAAAUGGAUGAAAAAUUAGAAAAGGGGGAAAUUAAGAAGAAGAACAGAGGGGACCAGGAGUGACUAAAAUCAAAAGCAGCUGACUCACCCCUUUUAAAAUACCAUAGUCGUUGCUCUCUUCAUUCUUCAAUUUCAGAAAUUUAUUUUCAAUGAUAGGGUCAAGCUGAAAUGGGCUUUCGAUUUGGAGUGUCCGUUAGAGGGUAAUCAGAAUGGAAUUGGAAGGGCAGUUCUCCGUUUGAAGCUUAAAAUUUGAAAGAUUCAGGUAUUUCUGAGCUCGGUGGCAGGUUCAUCGGAGUUAGCAAGGUAUGCUGCCUGGCGAUCGCAGCCCUGCUUUUCUCCCUCCUUAUUCUUCCUUAAAUGUAUUCUUGUAAUUUUCUCAACCAUAUUGGUCUUGAUGUUGUUUUACAGUGUAGUAGAUGCUCAUGACUAGUGACACCCCGAUGUCGGGCUUGUGUAUUUAUUCUGCACUAUUCAUUUAAACUUAUAUCAUAAGAUUAUUGAUUAAUAAAUGGUAUAAAAAAUAACUUUUA